GACGAACGCUGGCGGCAUGCCUAACACAUGCAAGUCGAACGAGACCUUCGGGUCUAGUGGCGCACGGGUGCGUAACGCGUGGGAAUCUGCCCUCUGGUACGGAAUAACUCAGGGAAACUUGAGCUAAUACCGUAUAAUGACUUCGGUCCAAAGAUUUAUCGCCUGAGGAUGAGCCCGCGUCGGAUUAGCUAGUUGGUGAGGUAAAAGCUCACCAAGGCGACGAUCCGUAGCUGGUCUGAGAGGAUGAUCAGCCACACUGGGACUGAGACACGGCCCAGACUCCUACGGGAGGCAGCAGUGGGGAAUAUUGGACAAUGGGCGAAAGCCUGAUCCAGCAAUGCCGCGUGAGUGAUGAAGGCCUUAGGGUUGUAAAGCUCUUUUGUACGGGAAGAUAAUGACGGUACCGUAAGAAUAA
RNAcentral lists this ribosomal RNA (415 nucleotides) under uncultured bacterium. RNAcentral describes it as "bacterial SSU rRNA". It matches the Rfam family "Bacterial small subunit ribosomal RNA", at positions 28 to 489 of the family's 1533-position model. The record is from RNAcentral.